GUGCAGCAGUCGAGAAUUUUUCUCAAUGGGGGCAACCCUGAAGGAGCGACGCCGCGUGGAGGAUGAAGGCUUUCGGGUUGUAAACUCCUGUCAUUUGAGAACAAGUGUAGCCAAGUAACUACUGGCUACUUGAUAGUAUCAGAAGAGGAAGGGACGGCUAACUCUGUGCCAGCAGCCGCGGUAAUACAGAGGUCCCAAGCGUUGUUCGGAUUCAUUGGGCGUAAAGGGUGCGUAGGUGGCGCCGUAAGUGGGGUGUGAAAUUUCGGAGCUUAACUCCGAAACUGCAUUCCAUACUGCGGUGCUUGAGGACUGGAGAGGAGACUGGAAUUCAUGGUGUAGCAGUGAAAUGCGUAGAGAUCAUGAGGAAGACCAGUGGCGAAGGCGGGUCUCUGGACAGUUCCUGACACUGAGGCACGAAGGCCAGGGGAGCGAACGGGAUUAGAUACCCCUGUAGU
RNAcentral lists this ribosomal RNA (455 nucleotides) under uncultured organism. RNAcentral describes it as "bacterial SSU rRNA". It matches the Rfam family "Bacterial small subunit ribosomal RNA", at positions 346 to 794 of the family's 1533-position model. The record is from RNAcentral.